This 557-nucleotide ribosomal RNA is filed under the name uncultured bacterium. Its description in RNAcentral is "bacterial SSU rRNA". It matches the Rfam family "Bacterial small subunit ribosomal RNA", at positions 102 to 694 of the family's 1533-position model. The record is from RNAcentral.
ACGGGUGAGUAACGCGUGGGAACGUACCCUUUACUACGGAAUAACGCAGGGAAACUUGUGCUAAUACCGUAUGUGCCCUUUGGGGGAAAGAUUUAUCGGUAAAGGAUCGGCCCGCGUUGGAUUAGCUAGUUGGUGGGGUAAAGGCCUACCAAGGCGACGAUCCAUAGCUGGUCUGAGAGGAUGAUCAGCCACAUUGGGACUGAGACACGACCCAAACUCCUACGGGAGGCAGCAGUGGGGAAUAUUGGACAAUGGGCGCAAGCCUGAUCCAGCCAUGCCGCGUGAGUGAUGAAGGCCCUAGGGUUGUAAAGCUCUUUCACCGGAGAAGAUAAUGACGGUAUCCGGAGAAGAAGCCCCGGCUAACUUCGUGCCAGCAGCCGCGGUAAUACGAAGGGGGCUAGCGUUGUUCGGAAUUACUGGGCGUAAAGCGCACGUAGGCGGAUCGAUCAGUCAGGGGUGAAAUCCCAGGGCUCAACCCUGGAACUGCCUUUGAUACUGUCGAUCUGGAGUAUGGAAGAGGUGAGUGGAAUUCCGAGUGUAGAGGUGAAAUUCGUAGA